RNAcentral lists this unclassified non-coding RNA (1033 nucleotides) under Hevea brasiliensis (rubber tree). Lineage: Eukaryota; Viridiplantae; Streptophyta; Magnoliopsida; Malpighiales; Euphorbiaceae. The record is from RNAcentral.
AAUUUAUAAUGUGGGACAGAUGUUUCCAUUAUGUAAAAACAAAAUUAUAUGUUCUGAUGAAUUUAUGAUAUUCAGAAACAUAAUCAUAUUUUGUAAUACCAUGUCAUACCUCAUCACAAUGGCAUUGAUUAGUCACUGAAAUUUUCAGUUUACAGACAAAUAAACUGCUGCUUCAGUAUUUUCCGUGGAAUGCUUGGAUAUGGUAGUCCCUGACGUAGGCUCCAAUGAAGGCAUGCCUGACUUUGUGCUACUGUACAUGAGAAAUCCAGGUUGUGAAGGUAGUGGCAGACUUAGGGAAUGGCUACUGAGCAUUAGAACAACUGAUGCCAUGGUGGGUCUAGCUGCUGCAUUUUCUUGAACACAUAGUAACCCAAUGUGUAUACAUCUGAUUAUAUCACCUGUUGGACCAUUCUUCUGUGUAUUGUCGAACAGAUUUGAAAUUUUUCCUUCUCUCCAAUUCUUCCAUGCCUGCAGGGUGUGGAUGGAAAUCCGACAAUCAGACUUGAAUUUAAUUCUUUAUAUCAUCAAAGUAAAAGGAAAGAGAUGGAAAUAAUGUGUAGUUAGUUUUCCGUUAAAAUCAGGGCUAAUCACACGAAUUAGGAUUAUUACACAGCUUAGUACACUUACAUGGCCUAAAAGAUGUUCUACUUCAUUUGAAUUACUCAGCCAGCUGUUCUUCUUACCACUCACCAUCUCCAGAACUAUGACACCGAAGCUAAAUACAUCUGAUUUCAUGGAGAAUCGAUUUUAUAAAACAUAUUCUGGAGCCAUAUAUCUACUGUACAGUAUCAAAAAGAAGAUGUUAGUGAAUUUAGCUAUUUACCAUUAUUCUAUCUGUUAACUUUAUAUAAUGCAAGAAUUUUCCAUCUCUUCUGUAGGAACAAUAUGCAGUUGCUAUGACACAAAAGCAUCAAUAGUAAGCAUAAAGGUAAUUUUGUUACGUACUAAGUCCCUGCAACUCUUCUAGUAAUGCCUUGGGUUUGAUCCAAAACAAACAGUCUUACCAUAUCAAAAUCUGAAAUUUUAGGGUUCA